RNAcentral lists this unclassified non-coding RNA (380 nucleotides) under soil metagenome. Its description in RNAcentral is "partial contains 5.8S ribosomal RNA, internal transcribed spacer 2, and large subunit ribosomal RNA". The stretch from base 1 to 120 matches the Rfam family "5.8S ribosomal RNA", at positions 35 to 154 of the family's 154-position model. The record is from RNAcentral.
GAUGAAGAACGCAGCGAAAUGCGAUAAGUAGUGUGAAUUGCAGAAUUCAGUGAAUCAUCGAAUCUUUGAACGCACAUUGCGCCCCUUGGUAUUCCUUAGGGCAUGCCUGUUCGAGCGUCAUUUACAAAUUCAAGCUCAGCUUGGUGAUGGGCGCCUGUCUCCCGCAACGCGCAGAUUCCUCAGCUUGCUGACGAUGGGUCUUUGCAGCGUGUAGGUAGACUCGCCUAAAAAACAGUUGGCAGCCUCUACUUCAGUUCCAAACGCAGCGGAAUGGCGGAUCGUACUGCAAGAAUAGGCUCUCCAGUAAGCAAAAUUCCACAAUUUGACCUCGGAUCAGGUAGGGAUACCCGCUGAACUUAAGCAUAUCAAUAAGCGGAGGA